RNAcentral lists this small RNA (94 nucleotides) under Pseudomonas kuykendallii. Its description in RNAcentral is "t44 RNA". It matches the Rfam family "t44 RNA". From Rfam's summary of the family: This family consists of a number of bacterial RNA genes of between 135 and 170 bases in length. The t44 gene is found between the map and rpsB genes in all species in the full alignment apart from Shigella flexneri. The function of this RNA is unknown. The record is from RNAcentral. Lineage: Bacteria; Pseudomonadati; Pseudomonadota; Gammaproteobacteria; Pseudomonadales; Pseudomonadaceae.
AUGCAGCCCGAAGAGCUUGAACCCCACACACGUAUCGACACGAUAUCCUGGGUGCCCGCAAGGGUUGGAUAUUGGGAUGCGUGGAGGCCUAACC